Molecule: long non-coding RNA, 2683 nt
Filed under: Nicotiana tabacum (common tobacco)
Lineage: Eukaryota; Viridiplantae; Streptophyta; Magnoliopsida; Solanales; Solanaceae
Description: long non-coding RNA (NTAB_LNC004083)
Source: RNAcentral
AUUAGGAAGAUUUAUAAUCUAUUCAUUGUAGGACUAACAAAGCAAUCAUAAGAUUACAAUGCGCAAGAGAGACAUAACCAGCCUUUCAUAUAAAUAGCCAUGUAAAACUUUCGAAAAAGGGUAUAUGCAUAGUGGCAAUGCCAAAACCUGUAGCUGGAAAUGAGAAAACAGAAUUAUCACAAGCUAUAGGUGUACGGUUCAUUAAGGGACAUAUUUUUGUCUAUACAAAGGACUCCAGAGAAAAAUUCAUCUAAAAAAAAUAUAACCCCCCAAAAAAAGAAUUCUUCUGGUAACUAUUACGUGUCUUUGUAUUUGUAUUGUGAGACUAUUCAAAAGAUUGUAUGAUAGACUAAUGAAUCCUUAAUCAGAAGUAUUUAACACUGAAAAUAUGCAUGAAAUUAAAGCACUUCAUUUUCAAAUUAUCAACCUUCAGCCCUUGAAAGUCGGUGACAUACCUGCCAUGCUUUUUCCGGUUAGUUGGAUCAGAAGUCUAAUAGCCUUGCAAGGAUAAGAUCUAGUGAGAAAGCCCUAAGGGAUGGCUCUUAGAUUUAGAUGUAAGAUGUCACAUAUUCGAACCUUGUUCGACCAAAUACACAUGCCAACCAACCCAUGGUGAAUUGAAGGUACAGUCCACAGGAAAAAUAAGACGAUCUUAGAAUACAAUGCAAAUGCAUUACAGCUACAUGUGUAUCUAACUGACCAAACUAUUGAGAAAAUAAGAUGUCACCAGUGUUUUCUAAGUGAACAAAAAAUAAUUCUCAAGUGCUCUGCUAAUAUUAAUUUUUCUUCUCUCUUUUUUACCCAUAGAGCAGAUUCCAGUAGCAUUAAAUGAAUACCAAAAAUAGAGAGUUGGACCUCAUGUUCAAGUUUUCAUUCAAAUGUAAAACCUUACUUGCGGGACUGAUUUCAACUUCCAUUUAUUGAAAGAUAGUAUAUUAUUAUAUCUUAAAUGGAGGCAUGAUCAUCAGAAAUGGCAAUACUUAUGAAGCAUAUAUACGAUAUGUCAAUCUGAAUAAGGUCAUGAAUGCAUAGUGGAAUAGAACAAAGUAAAUAUUGAUCUUUACUAAUGAAGAAGGACAUCAUAAUAUGUGAACGGUAAAGCCUCCACACACCAAACAAUGAGUUUAGAGUUAAUGAGUAUGGAUAUCUUCCUACCAAAGUUCAUAUGAAAUAUACAAUCAUUUAGUGGGUUACAUUUCAAGACUCACAUAAACCUUCAUACAACAAUCAAUAGUGGAGCAUAAGGUAACGAAAGCAAGCGGAUAUAAUUGCUAACAGAUAAUCAAAGAACAAAAUCCCAAAUAUUUUGCUUGAUUACAUUGUUUAAAUGUAUUCAACAGUCUGAAAAAUCUCAUAUAACUUUGGGAUGGAAAGUGUAAUAAAUCUCAAUUCAUAACAGAAAAGAACCUCACGGAUUUCCGGCUCAAUUUACUUUAAGAGUACUUUCUAUUUUAUUUUUACCCUUUUUCUUUUUUCCCUUUUUUCAAUCAUUUGGGUUCCUACAACUUUUAAAUAAAAAUUUAGAAUUCAGUUGAUUUACAUUUUCAUCAUCUUUUUGCUAAAGAGGGACAUCAUGAAGAGUUUAUCAACACAUGUAAAGUGAUGUUGAUAUUUGGAUAUGUUUUUUGUUUUUCACUUAAGCUUUUGUAUUUAGGUAGUUUUGUAAAGUGUCUGCAGUUUGUUUUCCUUGAGUAUCAUGUAAAAAGUAAUCAUUUUUAGAUGGCAUGGCCUGCUAAUGUUCUCUUGAUGUAUAUGCUUUAGCCACAGACACUUUAAUUUUGCUUGGAGACGGAGCUAUUUCAGAUAGAUUUGUGAAAGAAGUACCAAUUAAAUCAAAGGGAUUUGUAUGAAAUUAUUUUCAAUGGUUGUCUCUUACCCAAGCACAGCAUUCAUGAAGAAUAUAAACAUAAUUUUCCAAAUUAAAUUUUCAAAAUGUCAUUCAGAGGCAUAUAAGAUAAUUAGAAGCAUAUUUAUUUUUUUAUAAAAUCUGAAUUUACACCACUAUUGAAAAGGGGAAAAGAUCGCAGAUAGUUCCUCCAUAUGCGGUCAAUUCAUUUAGACAUGUUAUCAAAUACCUCUCGGUACGUACAUCAGCGUAUAAAUCGAAUAAAGCAAUCCAAAUGAAUGUGAAAAUCCAAUAAGACUAUUCGAAAGAACAUAGAAACUGUCAGAUGCCACCAAAACCACAUUAGCAAUAACAGAGAACAUCAAUGGAAGCACGAAUACAUAAAAAAGCACACACCAGAGACAUCGCUGCAUGGAUGUGCAACAUUUGCCAAUAUACCAAGCAAGAAAAGAAAAAAUUCAAAUGAAAUCAUAAAAAAGAGCAUAGCAGUAGAAGCAACAAUGGCUAAGCUACCAAACAAAAAGAAAAAUCAAAACAAACAAAGUCAUUCACCCAUAACUGAGAAGACAAAGGCAAUCAAACCCAACCUUAUGUGGUACCUUGGAGAUGAGAAGCCUCAAUCACUUGGAGCAUACCAGUGGUCUCGAGCUCCAAAACCAACUCCAUUCAACUCGUGCUUGAAUAUAUUUUCGAUUGGAGCAACACGGUUACCUCCACGUUUGUAGUCCUUAUACAGAACCAUUUGUUUUUAUUGUUUGUCUCUAAAGUGACACAAAGUUGUGGGAGGAUCCAGCAAUUUUGGGAACAGACUUUAGCAGCAGAGGAGCGUAAGUGAGA